RNAcentral lists this long non-coding RNA (1125 nucleotides) under Canis lupus familiaris (dog). Its description in RNAcentral is "lncRNA (ENSCAFG00030018552.1)". The record is from RNAcentral. Lineage: Eukaryota; Metazoa; Chordata; Mammalia; Carnivora; Canidae.
AUGCUAAACGUGGGGCGGGCAUCUUUACCUGCAUUAUCUCACCUGGAAUCCUCACAACCAUCGUGCUGCACAGUGGAAGGACCCAAGGCUCAGGGAGCCCAGCGGUGGGGGGGGGUGGGGGGGUGGGGGGAGACAGGCCGACUCGGCACCGGCGGCGGCUCGGCACAGCAGGCUCCGCAGCCCGACCCGUGGCACCUGCUGUCCAGCCCGAGGGGGGCCGACGGGCCCGACCGCUCACAGGCUCGGGACGUGGGGCCCGCGGAGACCCCACGACGUCGGAGCCGCCGCCCCGGCCGCCCCGGCCGCCCCGGCCUCCGAGACCUGUCUGCUCCCGCAGAGCGGCCGGCCGUGGCCACUUCCAGGGGCGGAGGCGGGGCCGCCGCGGAGUUCCGUAGCCACCGCGGGCCGGGCUCCGGGCGCCGAGCGAGGGCCGGCGGCAGCGAGGGCGCCGCGGCGUUUGUGCGGACGCGUCACGGCGAGGCGCAGGCCGUACCGCGCGCCGCCCGGGCGUUUCACCCCGCGCCGCCCGGGCGUUUCCCUCCGCGCGCGGACGGCGCUACUUGCAGCCGCGGCCGCUGGGCGCGAGGGGGUGGGGGCGGGGGCGCGGGCGGGGGCGCGGGCGCGGGCGCCGAGCCGUCGGCGUGGGCGCGGCGUCAACCGUCGACCGCAGCCGCUGGAGGGGCCACGGCGGAGCGCGCGGGCGUCCGGGGGGUCCGCCGCUUCCAGGGCUCGCCGCGCGGUCCCGGCCCCCGGAAGGACGCCGGCCCUCAGGUCCUCCUCGGGGCGAUAAUAUGUGGAGCCUCACUUUCGGGCGGCAAGGGAAACAAAGAUGACGGCGCUUGGCCCGGUGGCGCGGAGGGCCCGCCCGCCCGCCCGCCGCUAUUGUGUGGCCGCCUGACGGAGCAGCAGCGCUAUUUUUCUUACUCCCAACGUGGUGAUCCGGUGGCAGCAGAGGGACUUACAAGGAGGCUUUGUCUGCAGAAGAGCUGCUGCGACACGGCCUCUCCUGAAUGGCCGCCCGGCCGCCUUCCGCGGGCACCGCCCGCAAUUUUUUUUUUUUUUCCCAUAUCAAUUAGAGGGGGGAAAAAUCUGCAUUUUCCUCCCCACCUUUUUCUUCAGAUUUGA